This is a long non-coding RNA of Lemur catta (Ring-tailed lemur), 2221 nucleotides long. RefSeq lists it as uncharacterized. The transcript is spliced from 2 exons. The record is from RefSeq and is a predicted model, not a curated record. NCBI's taxonomy places the organism in Eukaryota, Metazoa, Chordata, Mammalia, Primates, Lemuridae.
AGCGGAGGGCACCAGCGGCUCAGACUGUGCGAAGAGGAUGCGGAACUCCUCGUCGAAGCUGGAGACCAGCUCGCCCUGGAACACGUGCGCCAGGCUGCGGUGGAUCUUCUCGAAUGACCACAUGAAGCUGUGGACGGGUCGGGCCAGAGUCAAGACAAGGGAGUGGGCCAAGCGGGCACCGGCUGGGCCAGGAGGGGCUCGGGGGACGUGAGGUCUGCAAGGACCAGGGCGGGACAAGCCCGGCUGUGCCAGCGCUGCAGCAGAGGAUGGCCCUGGUGGGGUGCCGGGGCUCCAGGAGGCAGCCCUCGGGGAGGGGCUGGGGGGCAGCGGGUUGGGCGUACCUGUAGCUCCCACUCAUCACCACAGCACAGUCCACCAGCAGGAACUUCUCCUUCACGUGGCCCUUGAAAGACUUCCCAGUGCGGCAGUAGUAGGUUGACUCGGCACUUGUCGGCCAUGUCCAGGAAGUGCUGCGCGUUCAUCUCAUCCAGUAGGAUGUAGACUGGGACUCGGCGGGCAGCAGCCUCCAGCACUUCACUGAGCAGGUCCACAUCGGUAAACAUGUCCAUCACCACAGCCACUACCUGGGGGGGGGGGGUCAGGACAGAGGGCCAGACUCCCCUGCUGUCCCCAUGCCAUUCUCCAGCCUUACCUCCAGGCCCCUGGAUCACCCAAAAACAUCGUACGGCAGCUACUCACCCCUCUAACGGGAGAGUGGGGCCAUGUCUGUGAAGGUGGGUGAGGAGGAAGGAACCCAGCAGAGGGGGUGUGGGGCUGCCUCCUGGAUUGGUGGUCCAAAAGGGAGCCCAAGGCAGAGCAGGGUCUGCAGGCUCACCCCUGGGCACAGAACCCUGGUUGGGGAUGGCCAGCACAGGGGGUCUUGAAACACCUGUGCCCUACAGAUGGCCAGGCUGCCCCAGCCUCAGUUCUGCCCUGUGAGUGGGUCACUGUUCAGGGCAGGGGGGCAGAGGCAGGGGUCUUUAGCGUCUGGCCCUGAUGCCUCAGUCUCCAUGGUUUAACAGGCUCCCUCCACUGUUUGCCAACUGCCAAGGGCCAUCCAGGCUGGGAGGGUGCUCCUCCCUCCCAAAGCACCUGAGUUUCCGGGGACUAGCCGUCACCAUGGGCAAGCAAACCUGUGUGGAACUUGCAGCCUGCGAUGGCCACACCCUUGGCGGCCCUGGAAGAAUUCUGCCAGGGAGCCCCUGCUGCAGCUUGAGCCCUGGGCUCGCUCCACCACAAGCUGGUCAUGCUUUGUGGUCCCCCCUCACUCCACUCCUGCAUGCCCUCAGGCCACCCUUCCCCACUGCCUGCCCGCCACGCUGGCACACCUGCUGGGCGGAACGGAUCAUCCUGCGAGCCUCCUCCUUGAUGCUGGGGCUGUCAGGUGGUGGUGGCUGCACCAGUGUGGUUACCUCUGUGCCCUGGAAGCCGAAGGUCAGGGGCCAGCCCAGGUCAAGUUCAGGGACAGCCUGGUCUGAAUUCACUGGCCAGUAGGUGCCUGAGGAGCCAUCCAUAUCCACAUCAGGAGGGCUGCCUUCAGGGGGCUCUCGGGCCACAUACUGUGGGGGCCGCAGGUGGCGGCUCACAUGUUCCAGCUCCUCAGGGCACAGGAAGUCAGGUGCCCCCUCAGAUGCCAGGAAGCGGCUAUAGGCCUCUGAACCACCCUCAGCCAGCGCGUCCACUGCCAGGCGGUAGUACUCUUUGUAGUGAGGCGGCAGGUACCCAGGUGCCAGUGGGUUGUCCCCCUGUGAGGAGCUCUGGGAGCGACGGGCCAUGUUGGGGCCAGGGGCCUGGAGGGGCAAGGAGACGAGUUACCAGGGGCACUAGGGACCGCAUCGCCUACCCCCUCAAGUGGACACACACUGUAGGGGGGCUGUCGGUGACCUUGGGUGGGCUGGAGUUUAGCCCCUGCCUGGGAGGCCUUCCAGGGGACCAGCCAAGCCAGGCUCACAGAUAGCGCCCCAGACCCUAGUAUACCCUCUAGCCGGGGGGCCUCAGCAGAGUGCCAGGGCACAGGUACCCCAGUCCUGUCUCCCUUCCUCAGGCCUCGCUGGCUGGGCCCUGGCUCUCACUAGCAUCCAGGGGCUGCCCACCUCACCCUUUAUGAUUUUUGUGACCCCAGACGUUUUUGCUUUGUGCAUCUCUUCCUCCAUAGGUAUAUUUAAGAUAUUUUAUGACUGUUGUUUAAACACAAAUAUAAUCCAGGUUGGGGCCACUGUUA